CGCGUUUUUCGCCCAGGCGGAGCUCGACCGCCGUCUGAAGUCCUGAAGGGCUUCAUCGAUCAGCAUCGACUACGGGGUCGAGUCGAUCUGCAAGGUGCUGCAGAUCGCUCCG
Regulatory RNA element from Acidovorax temperans, 112 nucleotides. It matches the Rfam family "ALIL pseudoknot". NCBI's taxonomy places the organism in Bacteria, Pseudomonadati, Pseudomonadota, Betaproteobacteria, Burkholderiales, Comamonadaceae. The record is from Rfam.